ACUCAAAUGAAUUGACGGGGGCCCGCACAAGCGGAGGAACAUGUGGUUUAAUUCGAUGAUACGCGAGGAACCUUACCCGGGCUCAAACGCAGAAGGAAUAUAUGGGAAACUGUAUAGCCAGCAAUGGCCGUCUGCGAGGUGCUGCAUGGUUGUCGUCAGCUCGUGCCGUGAGGUGUCGGCUUAAGUGCCAUAACGAGCGCAACCCUUAUUGUUAGUUGCCAGCGGAUAAUGCCGGGGACUCUAGCAAAACUGCCGGCGUAAGCUGUGAGGAAGGUGGGGAUGACGUCAAAUCAGCACGGCCCUUACGUCCGGGGCGACACACGUGUUACAAUGGGAGGUACAGAAGGUCGCUACCACGCGAGUGGAUGCCAAUCUAGAAAGCCUCUCUCAGUUCGGAUCGAAGUCUGCAACCCGACUUCGUGAAGCUGGAUUCGCUAGUAAUCGCGCAUCAGCCAUGGCGCGGUGAAUACGUUCCCGGGCCUUGUACACACCGCCCGU
RNAcentral lists this ribosomal RNA (498 nucleotides) under uncultured bacterium. RNAcentral's name for it is "bacterial SSU rRNA". It matches the Rfam family "Bacterial small subunit ribosomal RNA", at positions 899 to 1397 of the family's 1533-position model. The record is from RNAcentral.